AUGCACGCUGGCGGCGUGCCUCAUACAUGCAAGUCGAGCGAACAGAUAAGGAGCUUGCUCCUUUGACGUUAGCGGCGGACGGGUGAGUAACACGUGGGUAACCUACCUAUAAGACUGGAAUAACUCCGGGAAACCGGGGCUAAUGCCGGAUAACAUUUAGAACCGCAUGGUUCUAAAGUGAAAGAUGGUUUUACUAUCACUUAUAGAUGGACCCGCGCCGUAUUAGCUAGUUGGUAAGGUAACGGCUUACCAAGGCAACGAUACGUAGCCGACCUGAGAGGGUGAUCGGCCACACUGGAACUGAGACACGGUCCAGACUCCUACGGGAGGCAGCAGUAGGGAAUCUUCCGCAAUGGGCGAAAGCCUGACGGAGCAACGCCGCGUGAGUGAUGAAGGUCUUCGGAUCGUAAAACUCUGUUAUUAGGGAAGAACAAAUGUGUAAGUAACUGUGCACGUCUUGACGGUACCUAAUCAGAAAGCCACGGCUAACUACGUG
This 496-nucleotide ribosomal RNA is filed under the name uncultured bacterium. RNAcentral's name for it is "partial 16S ribosomal RNA". It matches the Rfam family "Bacterial small subunit ribosomal RNA", at positions 29 to 507 of the family's 1533-position model. The record is from RNAcentral.